AAACAUGGCCUUAUGGUCUUAUUUAUAUAAGGUCCGGCCUGCCCAAUGAUAUAUUUUAAUGGCCGCAGUAUUUUGACUGUGCAAAGGUAGCAUAAUCAUUUGUCUUUUAAUUGAAGGCUUGUAUGAAAGGUUAGAUGAAAGGACUCCUUUCUUUAUACUAAAUAUUGAAUUUAAUUUUUCAGUUAAAAAGCUGAAAUUUUUUAAUGGGACGAGAAGACCCUAUAGAAUUUUAUUAAGGUUGAUAUACUUAAUUUAUGGUUAAUUGUUUUUUUAUAUCAGGUUUAAUUUUGUUGGGGCGACAGGAAGAUUAAAUUAACUCUUUUACUAUAUUUAUUACUGAUUAGUAAUAUAAAGAUCCCUUUUAUGGAUUAUUAGAUUAAAUUACCUUAGGGAUAACAGCGUAAUUUCUUUGGAGAGUCCUUAUCGAUGAAGAAGUUUGCGACCUCGAUGUUGGAUUAAAAUUAAUUUUAAGUGCAGAAGCUAUAA
Molecule: ribosomal RNA, 486 nt
Filed under: Antiteuchus tripterus
Lineage: Eukaryota; Metazoa; Arthropoda; Insecta; Hemiptera; Pentatomidae
Description: partial 16S ribosomal RNA
Rfam family: Bacterial large subunit ribosomal RNA
Source: RNAcentral